UGGCAUUUUGCAAAAUACAGCAACGAAUCACACUCCCAAAUCCUUAUGACUUCAAGGGAAGGAGGCAGACCAACAUCUGGAAAAGAAACCAGACUUGAGCAUCCAAUUAUUUGAAGGUCUUGAAGAGCCGUUAGGUGAUGCAACCCUUCUGGUACCUUCGAAAGACUUGCACACUUGUAUAAUUCUAGAUAUUUAAGCUUGGAAGUCAAUAUUUGCAAUUGCAGCAACUCCUCUGCUUCUUUUCCCAGCUUUUCAAGGAGGGAAGAGUUGCCUGAAAUAACCAAACGAUCAAGAGAAAUCAAGUGUUGCAAUACUCUAUCCUCAUUCUUCAGUGAAGAUGUCAGCUCCUCACAUCCGCCAAUCCUCAAAUAUGCAACCUUCCUUAAUCCUUUGGCGAAUUCCCCUGUUUGGAACCUCACCUCUGAAAUAUUUGAAAGCCCCAGGGAAUUUAAUAACUCAAACUCAACGCCACUUGUCUCCACCACCGCUUUGCAGCCAUCUAUCCAUAAUCGACCAAUUUGUUUAUAGUUGGAAAUUGAAAUCACCAAUUCCUCGCAUUUAAUAAUUUUAAGUGUUUCUAAUGAAUCAAAGUUCUCGGGCACCUUACCCUCCAAUUGAGGACAAUUUGUGAUUGAGAGCAAUUUCAAGCAAGGGAAAACACCAAUUCCCCGAUCCCCCACAAAAGGAAGCCAUUUCUUCCAGUUGUGCAUAUCUGAAAACUCAAGAGUCUCCAGUACUGGAAAAGGCAAGCUACUCUCUCCAUAAAACUCAGGACCGACACUUUUCACUGCCGCCAUUCCUGUAAUAUAAAGUUCUUUGAGCAAAGGCAGUUGCCCAAGUGGUGGCAAGAUUUGACAAUUUUUACAUUUGUCUAAGCGUACAUGCACCAUAGUGGAGAAUAAACGAUCUCCAAUCCAUGUUGAAAAUUCUAAUCCAGCAUAACCCCUGAUGAUGAGUUUUUCAAGCUUUCUAUGAGGUUCUAAUCUGUCAAGCACGCCUAAUUGCGUUUCUUGUGUGUUAUCCGUCCAUUCUAGCACCAAUUCAUCUACUCUCUCCUUGGAUUUUAAGCCGGCCUUCCGUGCAUCCUCAGCAUCGAUCACAUUCUCCAACCUUGAGAGCGAUAAUGUCCUUCGGAGAUGGGACAGGGAUCCUAUCUCUCUUAUCCCUGAUUCAUCACUACCUUUACCCACCACAAAUUUAGGCAAAGAUUGUAGAUUUGUCAACCGACCUAGUUGCGGAGGCAUUGCUUUCAGUGAAUAUACAUCUGAGUUAUUGAGAUGACGCAGAUUCACUAGAUUCCUCAAGUUUAUGGGUAGUGCCUUCAAAUAACGACAACCUUUCAAUAUCAGUGUCUGUAAGUUGAAAAGAGUGGUUGUUGAUUCAGGCAAACUUGUUAUGUGUGUGUAAGAAAGAUCAAGAUGCCGCAGAUACUUCAAUUUACCAAUUGAAUUUGGCAGCUCAGUCACUUGAUAGCCAUUGAGAGAAAGCACCCGCAAGUAUUGCAAUUUUGGCAAUAAAUCAAAAGUAACCUUACGACUCAGAAACCUCGAUUCAUAAUACUCUGAAAUUGAAAGUGGUAGAAAAGUUCGGAAAUGUUUCACUUCAGAAAAUGCCUCAAAUCUUUUAACCACAUCAUAGCAACCAGAAAUGUAGGACGCAUGGCGGGCCUUCGUAAAACAUCCAAGUUGUACAUGAUCGCUAUUCUGCUUAUCCUCCAAUCUAAAACAAAUAUCUCCUGCUGCCCACUGUGCCAAACCAACAAUGAGGUCAUGCAUUACAUACUUUGAAUUGUUUUUGCUUGAUUUCUGAAAUAAUGACCUCGAUAAGAGAUCCUGAAAAUAGUCAGUUCCUAAAUCUUCCAUUUGCUUAUUAUGUUCUGGUUGUGGUUGAAUCAAACCCUCUGCCAUCCACAGAAGAAUCAAUUGCUGCUCACAAAAUUCAUAGUCAUUUGGAAAUAUCGAACAAUAGGCAAAGCAUCUUUUCAAAUGUGAAGGAAGAUAGUGAUAGCUUAGUCUUAAUACCGGAAGUAUGUCACACUCAUUUGAUAGACUCCAUAAUUUGUUGUUCAAUAUUUCCUCCCAUUCAUUCAUCUUUUUACUAAGUAAAAGGCCGCCAAGAGUCCUAGCAGCCAAAGGCAAUCCACUGCAUCUUGCAACAAUUUUCUCCUUGAGUGACUCGAAAUUUGGUGGUAUAUCUCUGUUAACAUUCCUGAAUGCAUGCUGCUCAAAUACUUCAAAACAAACGUCAUUUGACAUAGGCUCCAAAUUGUGAACUAGAGUGCCAGCUCCCAUCAUUUUCGAAACUUCUGCAUCACGCGUUGUCACAAUUAUCUUGCUUCCUGCUGCUCCAUCGCGAAAGGGGGACUGCAGUUUCAUCCAUAGACCAUAGCUACAGGUGCCCCAAACAUCAUCUAAAACAAUUAAAAACUUCUUCCCUGCCAAUUCCUUAUGCAGAUGUUGUUGAACCUGAUUGAAAUCUUCUGUAGGACACUGUCCGGAUGUGACUGCUCCGAGAAUCUGCUUUGUCACUCUUUCUAGGUUGAAGUCAUCAGACACGCAUACCCAAGCAGUUGGUUUAAAUUGCUCGGUUGCAUCAAUUUCAUUGAACACUUGUGCAGCAAGUGUUGUCUUUCCGACUCCAGCCAUACCAACAAUGGCAACUACAUCGAAAUUGACGGCAUUGCGCUCUUGUUUCGACAGAAAUUCCACGACCUGCCUUUUGUCUUCCUCCCUUCCAAUCACAGGUCCAUCUGGUUGACAUGUACUGGGAGGUAAAUUUUGACGUGCCUUACUGGACGACGUCGUCCCAGUAAUGAUAUUCAAACUAAGCUGGUCUUUUCGCUGAGAUAUCCCUUGUAAACGCUCAGUAAUCUUCUGUAUUUCUGAGUUCAUUUUGUAGUUGAAAACACCAUUAGGAACUGAGUUCCAGACCCUUCUUGCGGUAUAAUGCUCUACCUCCCGUUUGAGCAUUUUAGUAGCAUAUUUGUCCAAUACGUCUUCCAAGUCAUAAGCUAAGUCCCUGAGAUCAUCCAGCCAAAGCUUCAGCGGCUUGCUCUCGGUGAUUAGUUGCCUCUCCUCCGCCUCAUUCAGAACCGCUCCAAUUGCAGACAAGGUGGCAGUCCAUUUCUGCAGCUUUUGGUCGACGCCCUUUAUGAGUCCAAAGUACUUGAACACCUCACGACGCGCCAACUUGUCGACCAGCACUUGAAGGAAUGCCACAAGAUAAGCCUCUCCCAUAGUUUCUGGAGAAAAGCGAGCAAUCAAAGAAAAUGUAAGGAGUUGUUUCUUGAAGCAGCUUGAUUAGAAAUGCAUAAACUGAAACAAGCUAAAUUAGAAAUGCAAUAAAGAAAAGGAAUUUUGAGCAGACAAAAUAAAAUACAAGAAACUAAAAAAAAACAAAAAACAAAAGGCACCAAACAGAAUAAAUCAGAAGUACCUGUAGUUUAAGUAUAUGAUAUUUAUCAGCAGCAGAUUUCUUCACGAAUUACCGAAGGUGUCGCAAUGAACAAGAAGGAAAAUCCAAAGGCAAUACACAGUUACACACUUAUAGAACCAAAGAGAUCAAGAGAGCCAGAACCAAGACAUAAUAAAUAUGAAGAUGGAUGAAACUAAUUAUGGGUUUGAGAAUUUUGAGUUGACGGAAAAGACUCCGAAACAAAGACUGUAGAUAAGGAAAACGCAAUGCAAAUUCCCCAGCCUUUACAUAGAAAAAGUAGAAUGCUUAUUUACUUUGUUUUGGUCAAAAUGAAAAGUAGAAGCUGAUAAUUGAGUUUUGAAUCAUUGGAGUGUCUAGUCUAUUCUAAUGGCCCAGCUCCAGCUCAUGCCGCGUCCUUCUGUCUCAUUACGUUUGAUUCUGACAUGGUUUAUUUUUAAAAUCACUCACAUCACACUUGCUUUUGUCCAGCCACAUAUUAUGAUUAAUUUCACCAAUAAAUUUUGAUGAGGUUGGUCACAUAUUGGUUCUCCCUCACUCUCAUUUCAUGGAAGUUCAAACGGGCUCUAAGAUAAAUACGUCAAUGGCUAUAAAUUCACAUAUUUUUUUUCGCAUUUCCUUUUUGGUUAAAUCUUGACACAUAUGGACUGUAACAGUCUAAAUGACCAAUCCAACUCUUAGAAUGUCAUCUAAAUACCUAGAUUUGUAAUCAGCCAUAUAUAUCCUCACACUACAAGAUCGCUGGAAGGUACUUAUAAUGUAUCCUGCUGUGAGAUUAUAUUGUAUAAACCUGUCAACUCAACUGAAUAUAGAAUCCUCUAGGCAACAAAAAGUCUAAUAAGACCUAAAAACAAUGGGGUGACAUGUCAACACCAAAAGAAUAUAAAAAGUUCAGAGUGGAAAGAAAUAAAAAGAAAACAAACGAUGAAGAUGUCAGCGCAACCAAAUUGGUAUAUACAAUUUAGUGCCUAACCGACUGAGGAUUGAGGUAAAAAAAAUAAAAAAUAAAAACAAAGUCCCCAAGACUUUUCAUCCUGCCGACACCAAAGUUACAGAAAUUACUGUGUUUGAUUUUUGGAUUCCUUUAACUGCUGCCACCAGCACGUUACAUAGAAAAAGUAGAAAGCUUUUUUUUUUUUUUUUUUUUCCGGUCAAAAAGAAAAGUAGAAUCUGAUAAUUGAGUUUUGAAUAGUUUGUCUAGUCUAAUGGCCCAGCUCAUGCUGCGUUCUUCCUGUAAGUGAGCAACAAAUUUGGACUGAAGAAGGAGAACAGCUCCAGCACUGCAUUCUUCCUGUAAGUGAGUUUUCAAUCAAGUCUAGUGUUAGUCUAAUGGCCCAGCUCCAGCACUGCUUCUGUUUGACUCUGUUUUCAACUCACUCACAUCACACUUGCUUUUGUCCAACCCCGUUAUGAAUUCACCAAUAAAAUUUAGUGCCGAAUAUAUGAACCCUUUCUUUGGACGACAACGACCAUGAAAUUGCAGAAGACCAUAAAAUUAUUUCGUUCAGGGCGCCACUGGCUCCAUAACCAAUUCAGGUACAAGGUCCUUCUUAAGCCUUCUCUUCAACGCAAAAUGAACAUGUGCUACCAAUUCACCUUUUUCCGACCAAAAAACCAAGAAGAAAAAUACACGAGUAAAUCAAACUUUUUUUUUUUUUUUAAUACUUAUUUUAUUUAUACAUAAUUUCUAACUAUUGUGCAAGUUCAAUGUUCAAGCAACCGUAACAUGAUGGACUUGUGCAAUUUUGGUUCAUCGAAGUAAUUGAGAACUCUGAUUUUGUUGAAUGUCCAAACACUCUUGAAUAAUGAAAUUGUACACAAAGAAUUACACACUCUCUUCGAUAUUGAAGUUAGAUAAAUACUUUAAAAUGUAGGUUUUGAGUUAAUUUUGUUUUUUUAUUUAUUAUAUAGUUUUCCUUAAAAUAUAUGUUAUUUUAAGUAAUUAAGAAAAAUUAAAAACUAAAAUGUAAUAUUUUUCUUCUUCUUAAUAAUAAAGCAAGACUUCGUUUCAAACUAAAAUAUAUACAUUUAUAUAUUAUUUAUAAUUCUGGUUUGCUUUUAUAUAUAGUUCUGGUUUGCUUCUAGCUCAAAGAUAAAAACCUAAAAAGAUUCCUUUAACUGCUGCCACCAGCACGUUACAUGGUAAAGUAGAAGCUGAUAAUUGAGUUCUGAAUCAUUGGAGUGUCUAGUCUAUUCUAAUGGCCCAGCUCCAGCUCAUGCUACGUCCUUUCUGUCUGAUUAUGUUUGAUCCUGACAUGAUGUUUUUUACUCUCCCUCACAUCACACUUACGCUUGUCCAGCCACAUAUAAUUAUGAUUAAUUUCACUAAUAAGCAAGGCUAAACUAAUCAUAGCAGACCAUUUCAUUAAAUUUAAGUGAAUUUAUUAUUCAGAUAAAUCACGUGACUAAUAUAAAAAUUCACAUAUGUGGUCUAUAUAUAGUACCACCACCGUAAAACAACUUUUUAUUUACAUAUUCGGAAUUAAAUAAGGAAAAUAACAUCCUACUUAUUUUUAAAAUAUAAAUUAAACAAUAAAUUAAUAUAAAUUUGGCAAAGAAUCCUAUGUGCUUCAAACUUAAUCAAACAACUCAAAAAUCUCACCGAUACAUCCCUCAAAUAGGAUUUAGGAUUAUGAAUAAUUCAGUAUAUUUCUAUUCUUCUCAUAAGGAGAUAUUUAUAGUGAUACAAAUACAAGCCAAUCUAGAAAGUACUUAAAAUAAGAAAUAAAAGAAAUAAAUACAAUCCCAGUCAAACCGGUAUACCUAUAAUUACAAAUCAAUUAUAAUAAAGGUAAUUGUCAAUAAUUCCUAUUGUGAUUCAGCGAUUCACACUGGAAAUAUCCAUUUUCUCACCAUAAUUGACCCAGAUCUCGUCCUACAUCACAGAGAAUUUGAAAAAACAUUGAAGUCAAGCAAACAAAAGAAAGAAAAAUAUGGCUAAAAGUUUUCUCAGCAGAGAGAUGACAAAAUAAUAUUACAAGGCAAACCAAGUGAGUAAUGAAGUACUUUCUUUUCCUAUAUAUUUUUCAAAUGUUCUGCCUUCAAAUUCUGAUCGCAUGUUUGCAAGUGCCUAUUAAAAGGAAGAGCCUUUUAAGUCUUCCCAUUUCCUGAAUUUAAAAUAUAUCAUAAAGAGAAAUAAAGAUGGAUUUACCAUUUGUUCGAUAAAUCGUUGUCGUCCAGCAUGGGGGAGUCCCGCUUGAAGCAAUUGUAGAUGAAAAAGAACCACCUGGGAAACAUAAUAAGACACUUUAUUAUUUCACGGUUACCAUUAAAGGUUGAUAGUGUUUGAAAUUUGAAGUACCUGGGGAGAGUUGGAUAUAUCUCUAGGUAAGGAAUGUGGGAUAUUUUGUGCCAGUAUGGUCCAAAGACACAAGAUCUUUGCGACUCAGUUAUGACCCAAAAUAUCUUUGGACACCCAGAGAUCCAAAAUUGUGAAAGUGAAAGAGUCGGGGCCACUGGAAUAGAUGCCAGCUUUGGACAAUUCCAGAGUUGAAGACAUUGAAGAGAGGUGAGGAAUUGAAAGCCCUUGCUGCUCAGUUUCUUCAAAUUUGGGAAGCACCCAAUUGUGAGAUGAGUGAGAGAUUCGGGGAGCAGCAUCUCCAUAUCCAUAUCUGUGUCUCCUUCGGGUGGAAACGACACCACAUAUGGGUCUUCGCCAUCGACCCACAACAUUGUAAGAGAGGUGAGCCUGUGCAACAACUCCCACAUCGGCUUACAAUUCUUAAUUCCGCCGAUUACAAGUGAUGUUAGGUUGGAGGGAAAGGAAGUGAAAUUUAAACCUUCACCGUAAUCAAUAUUCAAUUCCUGAAGACAGUUGAGAUUGCCCAUAUCCGGUAACAUCUCCAAUUUGUUGCAAUUUUUUAUGAUGAUUCGUCUCAGGCUGGAGGCGGCUGUUGUUGUUGGCGAAAGCAAACCCUCACCACUCAGGCUCGGGAUGGAAACCAGACUCCCACAAUCAUAAAUCUGUAAAGUUUGAAGAUUGGUGAGGUGGCAUAGGCCCUCCGGUAUGGAUUUCAGAUUUUGGCAAAAACUGAUGCUAAUAUAUUCAAGACAAUAAUUAGUGUUGUCGUGGGAGAACCCAUCGAACGUUAUUAACUGCAGCUCUCCACAAUGGGAUAUGUGAAGGCUUUUAAGCGCCUUGGGAAACAACUGGGCUCUCAAUGAUAACGACGUUAGAGAUUCACAUUCCCGUAUAUCCAAGUAUCGAAGAGAAAUAUGAGAAGAAGUGGAAGACGAAGAACCCACCUCCUCCUCUACAAAUGACUUCAAACUUUUACACCGCAUUAUCUUUAUUCUUCUUAGAUUUGGGGGAAUCUGGUAUUUUGCAAAAUACAGCAACGAAUCACACUCCUCAAUCCUUAUGACUUCAACGGAAGGAGGAAAACCAACAUCUGGAAAAGAAACCAGACUUGAGCAUCCAAUUAUUUGAAGGUCUUGAAGAGCCGUUAAGUGGUGCAACCCUUCUGGUACCUUCGAAAGACUUGCACAAUAGUUUAAUUGUAGAUAUUUAAGCUUGCAAGUCAAUAUUUGCAAUUGCAGCAAUUCCUCUGCUUCUUUUCCCAGCUUUUCAAGGAGGGA
Molecule: long non-coding RNA, 8010 nt
Filed under: Prunus persica (peach)
Lineage: Eukaryota; Viridiplantae; Streptophyta; Magnoliopsida; Rosales; Rosaceae
Description: long non-coding RNA (PPER_LNC001761)
Source: RNAcentral